AGGACUAACGCUGGCGGCGUGCCUAACACAUGCAAGUCGAACGAAGUAGCAAUACUUAGUGGCAGACGGGUGAGUAACACGUAGUCAACCUGCCCUUCAAUGGGGGAUAACUAGCCGAAAGGUUAGCUAAUACCGCAUACGAUCUCUGAGUGGCAUCACUCGGCGAUGAAAGGAGUAAUCCGUUGAAGGAGGGGACUGCGUCCCAUUAGUUAGUUGGUGGGGUAAUGGCCUACCAAGACUCCGAUGGGUAGCUGGCUUGAGAGAGCGACCAGCCACACUGGAACUGAGACACGGUCCAGACUCCUACGGGAGGCAGCAGUGAGGAAUUUUCCGCAAUGGGGGAAACCCUGACGGAGCGACGCCGCGUGUGGGAAGAAGGCCUUCGGUCGUAAACCACUGUCGAGGGGGACGAUAUUGACGGUACCCUGGAGGAGCCCGGCUAACGUACGCGCCAGCAGCCGC
This 462-nucleotide ribosomal RNA is filed under the name uncultured bacterium. RNAcentral's name for it is "SSU rRNA". It matches the Rfam family "Bacterial small subunit ribosomal RNA", at positions 26 to 518 of the family's 1533-position model. The record is from RNAcentral.